CCUCCUGUAGCAUAUUGGGUCAGUGUUUCUGGCUGUUAACCAGAAGGUUGUUGGUUCGAGCCCACCCAGGGGGU
Non-coding RNA from Lacerta agilis (Sand lizard), 74 nucleotides. The record is from the annotation of a RefSeq genome assembly. NCBI's taxonomy places the organism in Eukaryota, Metazoa, Chordata, Lepidosauria, Squamata, Lacertidae.